AGAGUUUGAUCCUGGCUCAGGAUGAACGCUGGCGGCGUGCCUAAUACAUGCAAGUCGAGCGAACAGACGAGGAGCUUGCUCCUCUGACGUUAGCGGCGGACGGGUGAGUAACACGUGGGUAACCUACCUAUAAGACUGGGAUAACUCCGGGAAACCGGGGCUAAUACCGGAUAACACAUGAAACCGCAUGGUUUCAUGAUGAAAGACGGUUUUGCUGUCACUUAUAGAUGGACCCGCGGCGUAUUAGCUAGUUGGUAAGGUAACGGCUUACCAAGGCAACGAUACGUAGCCGACCUGAGAGGGUGAUCGGCCACACUGGAACUGAGACACGGUCCAGACUCCUACGGGAGGCAGCAGUAGGGAAUCUUCCGCAAUGGGCGAAAGCCUGACGGAGCAACGCCGCGUGAGUGAUGAAGGUCUUCGGAUCGUAAAACUCUGUUAUUAGGGAAGAACAAGGGUGUAAGUAACU
This 469-nucleotide ribosomal RNA is filed under the name Staphylococcus simulans. RNAcentral describes it as "bacterial SSU rRNA". It matches the Rfam family "Bacterial small subunit ribosomal RNA", at positions 8 to 466 of the family's 1533-position model. Lineage: Bacteria; Bacillati; Bacillota; Bacilli; Caryophanales; Staphylococcaceae. The record is from RNAcentral.